This 468-nucleotide ribosomal RNA is filed under the name uncultured bacterium. Its description in RNAcentral is "partial 16S ribosomal RNA". It matches the Rfam family "Bacterial small subunit ribosomal RNA", at positions 28 to 507 of the family's 1533-position model. The record is from RNAcentral.
GACGAACGCUGGCGGCGUGCUUAACACAUGCAAGUCGAACGGAAAGGCCCUGCUUUUGUGGGGUGCUCGAGUGGCGAAAGGGUGAGUAACACGUGAGUAACCUGCCCUUGACUUUGGGAUAACUUCAGGAAACUGGGGCGAAUACCGGAUAGGAGCUCCUGCUGCAUGGUGGGGGUGGGAAAGUUUCGGCGGUUGGGGAUGGACUCGCGGCUUAUCAGCUUGUUGGUGGGGUAGUGGCUUACCAAGGCUUGGACGGGUAGCCGGCCUGAGAGGGUGACCGGCCACAUUGGGCCUGAGAUACGGCCCAGACUGCUACGGGAGGCAGCAGUGGAGAAUAUUGCACGAUGGGCGGCAGCCUGAUGCAGCAACGCCGCGUGCGGGAUGACGGCCUUCGGGUUGUAAACCGCUUUCGCCUGUGACGAAGCGUGAGUGACGGUAAUGGGUAAAGAAGCACCGGCUAACUACGUG